Molecule: ribosomal RNA, 495 nt
Filed under: uncultured bacterium
Lineage: Bacteria
Description: partial 16S ribosomal RNA
Rfam family: Bacterial small subunit ribosomal RNA
Source: RNAcentral
GACGAACGCUGGCGGCGUGCCUAAUACAUGCAAGUAGAACGCUGAAGGAGGAGCUUGCUUCUCCGGAUGAGUUGCGAACGGGUGAGUAAAGCGUAGGUAACCUGCCUGGUAGCGGGGGAUAAAUAUUCGAAACGAUAGCUAAUACCGCAUAAGAGAAGAUGUUGCAUGACAUUUACUUAAAAGAUACAAUUGCAAUACUACCAGAAGGACUCGCGUUAUAUUAGCUAGUUGGUGGGGUUACGGCUCACCAAGACGACGAUACAUAGCCGACCUGCGAGGGUGAACAGCCACACUGGGACUGGGACACGGCCCAGACUCCUACGGGAGGCAGCAGUAGGGAAUCUUCGGCAAUGGACGGAAGUCUGACCGAGCAACGCCGCAAGAGUGAAGAAGGUUUUCAGAUCGUAAAACUCUGUUGUCAGAGAAGAACGAAUUUUGAAAUGGAAUGUUCACACUGUGACGGUAUCUUACCAGAAAGGGACGGCUAACUCCGUG